AGCUUUGCACAGUGGCAGUAUCGUAGCCAAAGAGAUUUAUCCGAGGUGCGAUUGUUGCUAAUUGAAAAUGUACGAGUGGAGGGAGAAAAGAAUGGUAUAUUUUUUCUUACCCAUAUAUUUUAAGAUAAAAUUUUAC
Molecule: small nuclear RNA, 136 nt
Organism: Panthera leo (lion)
Lineage: Eukaryota; Metazoa; Chordata; Mammalia; Carnivora; Felidae
Gene: U4
Rfam family: U4 spliceosomal RNA
About the family: U4 small nuclear RNA (U4 snRNA) is a component of the major U2-dependent spliceosome.
Source: Ensembl